CUACCUGGUAGCACUCAAACACUGGCGGGGUUAUCUUUAGAAGAUGUCGGAAAAUCUACCAGUGAAAAACUGAAAUCAACGGAGCACCUGUAAGCCUCACAAAAGGAGUCAAUUAGUGAGAUGACACUCCGCUACAUUCAAGAUACAAAGGAAAGGAGAUCAGGAUGACUAAGAGGUGGAUAAGAAGGAGAACCUAGCUGCGACAGGGGACGACCCCACGCCUUCCUAGAGUUGGAACUUGUCCGCCGUGUGACUCCGCAGUCACAAGGAGACAGUUUGCAAGAACCCAACACAAUUUCAAAAGACCACCAACUAACUGACCUAACUUUGGCCGCCUGCCCUUCCUUCCUUUCCCGUCUCAGGCCUCGCAGCCUCCCGGUCCCGGAGCUGUGGGCUGGCGGAAUGGGGCUCAGAGUCCGGCGACCGCGGCCCAGGACCGGGCGGCUCCGCGGCGCGGACUCCCAGCCGGGGCUCCGGCUUUCUGCCCCGAGGGCGCCCAGCUUGGGGGCCUCCAGGCACGGCCCACACAUCAACGGCGUCCUCGACCCGGACCGCGGCCGCUGCGACGGAGAGCCCGGCUCCGCUCCGGGAGGAGGGGGCGCGAGAACUGCCCAAGCUGAUCCGAGGAGCCGGCGGCGGCGGCUCCCGGCGCGGCCUUGCGCUCCCGCCCAGGCUGCGGCCUAGGCGGCCCCGUUAGAUCUGUCCUCCACACGCGGCACAGCGGCACUGAGGGGCCACGCAACGAGAGAUGGAGGGUGGCGACGCCCCAAGGAGCCGCGGCCCGCCGUGGGGGUCCCGGCCCGGGGACGCCGCCCCCCGCCUGGCCAGCGCCAGAGAAUGGCUUUUACCUUCAUCAGCCUCCUGCUGGCCGCCAUCUUGGAUCUGGUGCUGCUGCUUUCCCAAAAUGCAUCGCGGUAGGCCAGGCGGCUGGAACCCCCUCACUUCCUGGAACGGGGGAGGGGCGAGCCGGGAAGAGCGCGGAACAGAGAAAUGUGCCUACUGUGUGCGGAUCCCAGUGCUGGAAGAGACCUGUGUAGACGCGAGGGACCUGGACAAUUAAAGACCUUUGCCUCGUGCAGCCUCCAGUCCGACGGAUAAUACAUACCGUGCCUGGCACGUAGUAGGUGAUACAUGUUGUGUAUACAAAAUAACUGAAUAAUCAAGACUAUUUUAGGCACUGCUAAACAUUGUGAAAAAGUAAAUCUGAAAAAUGAGAAAGUUACUGUGGGACUGACGAUAUAGUUGGUCAAGUGCCUGCGUGUGCAAGUAGGACCUGAGUUUGGAUACCCACAUAAAAAGCAAGCAUAGUCCCCUGCCUGUGUAGAUAGAUACAGGUGGAUCCCUGAAAUUCUUUGUCUAACUACUCUAAAUCAGAUUCAAGAAAACCAAUGAAGUGCAAGCAUGGAAAAGCAUGUGUGGACCUCAGUUCUGCGUGUGUGCGUGUGUGUGUGUGCCCACACUAACUUUCACACACAGCCUCCCACACACCAGUAACUACAAGGACCUACUUUCAGGAAGGCUCACUGAAGAAACUGAAUAAGAGAGAGAAGAGCAGCCAAACAUAAGUGGAUUAUGCCUUUAUUUCUGGCAUUUGGGAGGUGGAGUCAGGCAUGACUAGCCAGCCUAGGCUACAUAGUAUGACCCUAUCCACUGUCUCAAAAAUAGUAAUAGCAGCUGCCAGGAGUAGUGUCACACACUUGUAACCUCAUAAUUCUAACAGUCCAGGGAAUGAAGCAGAAAGAUCCAAAGAGAAAGAAACUACUAGAUGGUAACCCCCAGCAGUGCCUUUGCCAGUGGGGAGGUUUUGUUGAGGGAUACAGAAAUGUAGAUGAGGUCUCAUGUCACCCAGGGUGGCCUCAGAAUUCACUAACUAAGGUCUAACUAAAGAUGACCUUAACCUCCUGAUCCUCUUCCACCCUCAAGUGCUGAGAGUGCAUUUGAGUCACCUGUACUUCUCUAAGUAACUUCAAUAAACACACUAAAAGGAA
This is a long non-coding RNA of Mesocricetus auratus (golden hamster), 1988 nucleotides long. RefSeq lists it as uncharacterized. The transcript is spliced from 2 exons. The record is from RefSeq and is a predicted model, not a curated record. NCBI's taxonomy places the organism in Eukaryota, Metazoa, Chordata, Mammalia, Rodentia, Cricetidae.